UCUCAGACAUAAAUCAACCUCUAUUAGAUUUACCAGAGUACUACGAACAUUAAGUUUAAAACUCAAAGAGCUUGGCGGUGCUUUAGACUCCUCAGGGGAACCUGUCUCGUAAUCGACAAUCCACGAACCAACCUCACCUUUCCUUGUAAUACAGUAUGUAUACCGUCGUCGUCAGGUAACUUUUUAAAAUACAGAAGUUAGCAACUAAAUACUUUAAUUCUCACGUCAGAUCAAGGUGCAGCCUAUGGGAAGGAGUAGAUGGGUUACAAUUAAAAAUCAUAACUACGAAUCUCAUCUUUAACAAGAUUUUUGAAGGAGGACUUGAAAGUAAAAUCCAGCAGCUAAAUGCUUUGAAUCAAGCUCUAAAGCG
RNAcentral lists this ribosomal RNA (370 nucleotides) under Littoraria variegata. RNAcentral's name for it is "partial 12S ribosomal RNA". Lineage: Eukaryota; Metazoa; Mollusca; Gastropoda; Littorinimorpha; Littorinidae. The record is from RNAcentral.